Molecule: non-coding RNA, 3014 nt
Organism: Kogia breviceps (pygmy sperm whale)
Lineage: Eukaryota; Metazoa; Chordata; Mammalia; Artiodactyla; Physeteridae
Source: RefSeq, a predicted model, not a curated record
GCUCAGCUCCGACCGCCUUCGUUGCUAAGGUUGGUGGAUCCGGGCCGCUGAGCUUUGUCAGACCUUUGUCCCAACCCAGUGGGUUUGAACUGGACGGAGAGCACUACGGAAGUGAGAUCCAGACACCGUCGAUUCUUCAAGCCCCUUUAUCACAGCCCAUUUCAGCAAAUGUUUAUACACAUUUACAGAAGCCUUUUUUUUUUUUUGAAGUAGAUCUACAAUGUGGAUCCAUGUUGUGAGGACACUCAAGCAGCCGUGGGGAGAGGCUUGCAUGAAUAAUAACCAAGCCUCUUGCCAACAACCACCUCCAACUUGCCAGCCAUGUGUGUGAACCAUCUUGGGAGUAGAUCCUCCAGCUUCAGUCAAACCUUCAGAAAUGGCUCCAGCAGUAUUGCCCAUCCCAUAGGGGCUCUUCUGCCCCAUGACUGCUUGGACCCAUAGCGUACAGUGGAAGAGAUGUUGCGUCCGUUUCAGGCAUGGCACUUAACUGUCCUGGAAGUCAGUCACCAUGUAAGAAGUGCGACCAGCCUGAGACCACUGAGCUGGGAGAAGCCCAAGCCACGUAGGGAGGAAGGGAAUCAGAGGAGCAUCAGAUACCAGACCCAGGAGUGAAGAAGCCAUCUUGGAGAGGUGGAAAGAUGGACAGGUUCAGCUCCAGGGAGAAACCAGGAAUGCUGAGUAUGGUACAUCCUGAUGAAUCCAGAAUGCAGGACCAAAACGAGGGGCCGCUUUCCUCCAAAUGGUGAGGACAUCUUCUACGUGCCAGAAAGGCCAGCAAUACAUUCAUUUCAGAACCAACAGAGCCCAAACAACAGUGGAGGCUCACCAUAUUCUGGACUCUUUUUCUGGGCCUCCAGGAGCCUUCUAGCAGAUAACGAACUUUGAUAGUUCAAGGCCUGUCCUCUUGCUUUCUACAAGGUGUGAACUAAGGGCUGGAUUCCACACUUGGGUGUCUAUAAACCCAUGGUACCCAGGUCCUAUUCCUGUGCUGUAGGAUCUUCCAGAAGCAGGUCUGCUACAAAGGAGGUGCAGUUCACAUUUCAAUGCUGGGCUCAUUGGAGAGGUCAUCAAACAGAAUUUCCAUCAGAAGGUAGAUUACAUGUCAACACCACAGAGGGUUUGCCCUUCCCAGGAAAAUCCAAAUGCUAUAACUUGUUCUUGAGACCCAAGGUUUCCCACAGUUUUGAAAUCUGAAAAGCUUUAUCCAGCAGACAUCCAUUAAGUGCCAACUGUAUGUCAGGGAGACACUGGAGACAAGAUCUUGGGCUCUGGUGGGAGAGACAGACAUAGACACUAACACAGUAGGAUAUUUUGAUUUCUACAAAGGAAGUGUGUGCAGAAUGACAUAAGAACCCGGGAGAAGCAUCAGAUUCUGCCUUUGGCAAUCAUGGAAGGCUUCCCAGAGUAGGUGACUUUCAAUCUGUAGGAGGAGGUUACAACUGAAGCAGAGGCCCAGGCCGGAGCUCCUACUUCCAAAUCCCCCUGAGGAAAGAGUCCAGAACUUCAUCUCCCUGCUUCAGCCAUGGAAGCAGCAAAAGCUUCACACACAACCAACAUCUGGAUGGUAUUAAUUACCUCCACAUUUAUGAAGUGCCUCAUUAAACUUGACUCAAACCAACGGCAUAGUUGGCUCCCUGGGUUAAAUCCACGCUAAAUAUUCAGUUAACACACAGCACAAGCGAAUCAUAUUUGGUGGGGUUCAGUUUACUUGUCCUGUGAAGGUGCUUUUCCAGCUGAAUAAUGAUGGUGCCUUUUAAUUGCGUGCUGUCUUCCUCCCGGGGGACUUUAGGUGGGACCAUCUUCCCAGAGGGAGCCAGAAACUGGGUGUCGUCAUCUCCAUUUUAUAGUUGCAUGGACUCAGUAAAGAGACCUGGCCCCAGCCGCAUGAACUGGAAUCUUAGUCCUCCCUCGGGGUCCAGCUCAAAUUACCUCAUCUUAAAAGAUCUUUUGGUUCCCCCAUCAGAAUUUCCCUGCCAUACAUGACCCUGGAAGCAGCUGAGAGAAAUGGCUGAGCCCUCACUGUGUACAGAGCUCUGUGAUGGAUAGUUGACAGCAUUCACUCACUGGAUCCAACAUCACUGAGGGUGUGUUCCCAUUUCACAGCUGAGGAAACUCAGGCACAGAGAAGCUGAGUGAUAGGUCUUGGAUUACACAACUAAUUAGUCAGGAUUCAAACCCAGGCCUCUAAGCCCAUUGUCUUAACCACAUACAAUCCUGGCACAUUCAUUCAUUCAUUCAACAAGUAUUAAUUGAGCACCUAUGGUACACCCAGUGCUUGCCAGGAGUAUAGUACUUGCUAGGGAUGCAGUAGGGAAGGAAACAUGAUCUUUGCCCUAACAAAGAUUAUCAUCUAGCAGGGAAGAUAGAUGUGAAACACUUCCACAAUCAUUUAAUUACAUACCAGGCAUCAGGCAAUGUUAGCAGAAUUUAACUGAACUAGCUAAGACAUUAGCAGGGCAAGAAAAGAAAUCAGGUCUCUGGAUGGCUCUUUCUUGUCUGCAAUUCAGGAGUCAGUCAACUCUUCCUUUUUUCUUAGAUUCUGUAGCUAAGCAAUGCCUACAGAGGCCCACAAUUGCUUUGGGAGUUUCCAGAAACCACUUCCCUCUCUGAAUCACGGCUUUCCCAGCUAUAAAAUGAGGAUGAAAAUAGCAAAAUACUGGAAGUAACCCAAAUAUCCAUCAACAGGGGACCACUUAAAGAAGUGGUGCUACAUCUACACCCUGGAAUAUGCAGCUCUUAAAAGCAUGAGGCAACUCUAAAUGCUGGAGAAGGAUCGCUAAGACCUGGACCCCAGGGAGUCAUGGGGUGACUUACUUUUUUUUUUUUUUUUUUUUUGGUCGCACCACAUGUGGGUUCUUAGUUCCCUGACCAGGGAUCGAACCCGUGGCCCCUGCAUUGGAAGCACAGAGUCUUAACCACUGGACCACCAGGGAAGUCCAACUUACUCUUAAUGUGUGCCAUUUUGUACCUUUAGAAUUUUGCACUCUGUGCAUGUACCUUAUCAAAACAUAAAU